Molecule: non-coding RNA, 141 nt
Organism: Caenorhabditis elegans
Lineage: Eukaryota; Metazoa; Nematoda; Chromadorea; Rhabditida; Rhabditidae
Source: Ensembl
AGAGUCAUAACUCAUAACGGCAAAAAACGGAAAAAGAAGGAAAAAAGUUUGCCGAAGCGUAUGCCUUUUUGUGUAAAAAGAAAGACGAAGACGUUUGAAGAGGGAAUGUCAAAAAUGUUCGCAUUUUUGUUUUCUUUCUGU